This 425-nucleotide ribosomal RNA is filed under the name uncultured Oscillospiraceae bacterium. RNAcentral's name for it is "bacterial SSU rRNA". It matches the Rfam family "Bacterial small subunit ribosomal RNA", at positions 355 to 794 of the family's 1533-position model. Lineage: Bacteria; Bacillati; Bacillota; Clostridia; Eubacteriales; Oscillospiraceae. The record is from RNAcentral.
UGGGGAAUAUUGGGCAAUGGGCGAAAGCCUGACCCAGCAACGCCGCGUGAAGGAAGAAGGUCUUCGGAUUGUAAACUUCUUUUAUGAGGGACGAAGGACGUGACGGUACCUCAUGAAUAAGCCACGGCUAACUACGUGCCAGCAGCCGCGGUAAUACGUAGGUGGCAAGCGUUAUCCGGAUUUACUGGGUGUAAAGGGCGCGUAGGCGGGGAUGCAAGUCAGAUGUGAAAUCUAUGGGCUUAACCCCGGGGCUGCAUUUGAAACUGCAGAUCUUGAGUGUCGGAGAGGAAAGCGGAAUUCCUAGUGUAGCGGUGAAAUGCGUAGAUAUUAGGAGGAACACCAGUGGCGAAGGCGGCUUUCUGGACGAUAACUGACGCUGAGGCGCGAAAGUGUGGGGAGCAAACAGGAUUAGAUACCCUGGUAGU